AAAAAAGUUUUAUAUUUGUUUUAUAAUAUAGCAGAAAGAAACAUAAAGAAAGAAAUUUCCGACGUUUCCGUGUUGACAUUGAGUUAUAUCAACACGGUCACGGGCUCUUAGCCAAUCAGCAUUCAGAAUUUACAAAUGCUAUAUUAUAAUCCUUUCUAUUGCAUUUCAACCAUUCUAUAUAAAAUCUGUCCAUCUCAGUCCCAUCCAGUGCAUUCUAUUCUCGGUUCUAUUCAGUGA
This is a non-coding RNA of Paramuricea clavata, 237 nucleotides long. NCBI's taxonomy places the organism in Eukaryota, Metazoa, Cnidaria, Anthozoa, Malacalcyonacea, Plexauridae. The record is from the annotation of a GenBank genome assembly.